AGCGAACGCUGGCGGCAGGCUUAACACAUGCAAGUCGAGCGGGCGUAGCAAUACGUCAGCGGCAGACGGGUGAGUAACACGUGGGAACGUACCUUUUGGUUCGGAACAACACAGGGAAACUUGUGCUAAUACCGAAUAAGCCCUUACGGGAAAGAUUAUCGCCGAAAGAUCGGCCCGCGUCUGAUUAGCUUGUUGGUGAGGUAACGGCUCACCAAGGCGGCGAUCAGUAGCNGGUCUGAGAGGAUGAUCAGCCACACUGGGACUGAGACACGGCCCAGACUCCUACGGGAGGCAGCAGUGGGGAAUAUUGGACAAUGGGGGCAACCCUGAUCCAGCCAUGCCGCGUGAGUGAU
RNAcentral lists this ribosomal RNA (353 nucleotides) under uncultured bacterium. RNAcentral describes it as "bacterial SSU rRNA". It matches the Rfam family "Bacterial small subunit ribosomal RNA", at positions 29 to 409 of the family's 1533-position model. The record is from RNAcentral.